Molecule: ribosomal RNA, 388 nt
Filed under: uncultured microorganism
Description: bacterial SSU rRNA
Rfam family: Archaeal small subunit ribosomal RNA
Source: RNAcentral
GUGCACAGGCGCGAAACUUCACAAUGUGCGAAAGCACGAUGAGGGAAUCCCAAGUGCUUGCUCGUAAGAGUAAGCUGUUUCUCUGUCUAAAACGCAGAGAGAGUAAGGGCUGGGUAAGACGGGUGCCAGCCGCCGCGGUAAUACCUGCAGCUCGAGUGGUGGCCGCUAUUAUUGGGCCUAAAACGUCCGUAGCCGGUUUAUUAAAUGCCUGGGUAAAUCGGACCGCUUAACGGUUCGAAUUCCGGGUAGACUGAUAAACUUGAGACCGGGAGAAGCUAGAGGUACUCCUGGGGUAGAGGUGAAAAUUCUGUAAUCCUAGGGGGACCACCAGUGGCGAAGGCGUCUAGCUAGAACGGGUCUGACGGUGAGGGACGAAGCCCUGGGGCGC